This is a long non-coding RNA of Lepisosteus oculatus (spotted gar), 399 nucleotides long. RefSeq lists it as uncharacterized. The record is from RefSeq and is a predicted model, not a curated record. NCBI's taxonomy places the organism in Eukaryota, Metazoa, Chordata, Actinopteri, Semionotiformes, Lepisosteidae.
GACGUGGCAGCAGGAUGCGCAGAUCCGCCUCUACGAAGGAGAGAAAGGGAGGUCGGCGAAGGAGGGUCCUACAAGCUCACAGGAGAGACAAGGAGCACCCACUAGGCAAGAUGUCAAUUUCAGGUCUCUCGUUAUAGCAGAGAUGCCCUGGACUGCAGGAUGUCGUCACAUCAAAAACAGACGUCAUGGAAUCAACCUGUUACUUGUUCAAAUAUUUCUCCAGUGAGAGACCUGUUCUCCGAGGAUUCUCAUGUAUGGAAACGCCCAUCUCAGCAGUGCAGUCUCCUUGUUUGUAACCUCUCAUGUUCCAACAUCCAGUGUCACCAUUCUACCUUCCUCUAAAAACAUGGACUGGCAAAUGAAAAUGUAAUGAAAAUAAAGGCAAACAUUUUACAGAAA